This 275-nucleotide ribosomal RNA is filed under the name uncultured bacterium. RNAcentral's name for it is "partial 16S ribosomal RNA". It matches the Rfam family "Bacterial small subunit ribosomal RNA", at positions 399 to 691 of the family's 1533-position model. The record is from RNAcentral.
GCGUGAGUGAUGAAGGCCUUAGGGUUGUAAAGCUCUUUUGCCGGGGACGAUAAUGACGGUACCCGGAGAAUAAGUCCCGGCUAACUUCGUGCCAGCAGCCGCGGUAAUACGAAGGGGACUAGCGUUGUUCGGAAUCACUGGGCGUAAAGCGCACGUAGGCGGAUAUGUAAGUGAGGGGUGAAAUCCCGGGGCUCAACCUCGGAACUGCCUUUCAUACUGCGUAUCUCGAGUCCGAUAGAGGUGAGUGGAAUUCCUAGUGUAGAGGUGAAAUUCGU